RNAcentral lists this transfer RNA (69 nucleotides) under Marmota monax (woodchuck). It matches the Rfam family "tRNA". From Rfam's summary of the family: Transfer RNA (tRNA) molecules are approximately 80 nucleotides in length. Their secondary structure includes four short double-helical elements and three loops (D, anti-codon, and T loops). The record is from Rfam by way of RNAcentral. Lineage: Eukaryota; Metazoa; Chordata; Mammalia; Rodentia; Sciuridae.
GGUGCUGGGGCUCAGUGGCAGAGCACUCGCCUAGGACGUGGGAGGCCCUGGGUUCGAUCCUCAGCACCG